UUGGCGACGGCGAACUGGCCGCGCUCAGCCUUCGGCAGAUAGACGCUUUUGCGCGAGCCCGAACCGAGCUGCAAAGCGACGUAUCCAUUCUUCUCGGUCGUGCGAUGGCCAACAACCUGGCAAUUGCCCAACUUGAGCACGGUCACAGGGAUAUGUUCACCGGUCUCCGUAAAGACCCGCGUCAUCCCGACCUUUUGUGCGAUCACUCCGGAGCGCAUCGGCGUGCUUCCUGUUCUUUCUGUCCCGAGGGACUAACUAACUUAUCUUGUGAGC
RNAcentral lists this unclassified non-coding RNA (273 nucleotides) under Hevea brasiliensis (rubber tree). Lineage: Eukaryota; Viridiplantae; Streptophyta; Magnoliopsida; Malpighiales; Euphorbiaceae. The record is from RNAcentral.